AAAGAACCCUAAUCCUUCUUCACCACAACAACCAACGAGCAGUACUUCUUAGAAACCAUGAAUAACCACCCAAAAUCGACCCUAAGACGCCAAAAACACACACACAGUCAUAAACAGAAGGACAGACAAGAUCGAAGGAGACAGAAAAUCGAUGGGGAAAAAUAUAAAAAGAAAUUCCAAUUUUCUUCUUCUCAAAUCCGGAAAAAUACAAUCCAGUCUCUGAUUUUUUAUCUUCUCAUGGAGUUGGACUUAAAUUCGAGAUUGGAGUUCCAUCGAGGUUGAUGCCGAUUCGAGUUUCCAUCCAUGUUUCGUUACAUUUUAAGCUCAAAACAGUGAUAUAAUUGUCUUUCAGCUAUAUUUGAGGUCCAUUCUUCCCUUUCCUUAUUGUUCUUUUACUUAAUAUCAUGAUAUUGAUAAUCUCGUUAAUUUGUUGUUUCCGUACGUUCAUUGAUUGAGAUGAAUUGGUCUAGCUGUUGUUUUCAUUAAAUUGGUGGUUGAAUUAUUUUUGUAGUAUUGACAGCUCAAACUAAAAAUGAGAUUACUAAGUAAGAACUCUACUUGGAUCUUAUUAACUUUGGAAUAGUGAAUGGGGUCGCGGGGUCAGUUUCAAGAGGAUGAGAAUCGUGUUAAUUAAAACUACAUAAAAUUUGGGUUUUGGUCGUAGUUUAUGCGUGAAAUCGGGCUUUGAAACUAAGUUUAGUUAUGCUUUAUUUGUUUGGAUUCGUAGGAGUAUGUUGUGGGCCGACCACUUGGGUAGGCAAGCCUUAGAAUUAUUGUUAGUUUUGAGGCGAGAGGUCAUUCCUUUAGUUAAAUUUAUCCGAAAAAUGCCUCGAGUGAUUUGUAUGCAUUUUAUUGCUGGGAUAUGCCCUGAAGUGAAUGUAAUUGGAGGCCCUGACGAACAUCGUAGAAGAAAUAGCGUAGGAUAAUUUAGAAAUUUAAUUUUUCUUCUUUUUAAAUUCUUCCAUUUAGGUGGGGACGACCUCGAGCCUCUUUUGAUUUUUUUAUGUGUGUUAUUACCUCAAUUUGAAUGUUUUAAUACCCAACUUGAUCAUGUACGCAACCGUACUAGUUACGAAACUCGGGGAAUGCCUAACACCUUCUCCCCGCGUCAAAUGAACCCCCGUACACAAAUCUCUGGUGCGGACUUGGCUUUAGAGUCUGAAAUAUUUUUUUAAAAAAUCAUUUUAACAAAAACGGUGACCCGGCAUACUGAAAUCAAAGUCAGGUGGCGACGCUGAGUUAUUUUCCUUCUGAACACCAUUUUUGUCACGUUCUAAUUGGAAAACCCUUUCGAGCUUCGCGAAAUCUUUUAGGAUAUUUGGUUGAUGUGUUUGUUUUCUUUAUUUUCUUUGUUUAUUUGCUUUGUUUGUCUUAUUUUCUUAUUUUGUUGGUUAUUUGUUUAUCACUUUUCUUAAUGUGUUACUGCUUUAUAAACUGUCAUUAUUUGCAUAACCUUAGGUCUUCUUUCUGAAACAAGUUCCAGAGUACGCGUCGCGUGCAUGAACUCUUUGUUGAGUCACUUUUAAUUUAAAAAGGGGACACAAAGCUUGAGCAGUCACCAUCGACCAUAUGCUCCCCCCAACUGCCUCGUUAGUGAACCCCAAACUUAGGUAAGUCUUUAGGUCAUUCUUAUUUGCAUAAUAUCAUUUGCACCUAGUAAGGCCCGAUCCCAGGCAUUGUGUCCCUUUGUAGAAAGCCUAUCCAAAUUUUGUCAAAAUGGGCACGUGGCCCAAAAAGGUAUUCAAUCAUCCAUUGUAGUACAUGUUGCAUCUUUAAGGGUAAAAAGGCUAUUUGGCGGACCGAUGUGUGGAGAAAAAGGGUGAAAAUAAAGCAAGUAGGGCCUAGUUAUAUUUUCCUUUCACAACUUUUCAAAAACAAAAAGACCAAAAAAAAUGAAAAUUCCAAAUUUUUUUUACACUUUCCCAUCAUUUUCCAAAAAUCAAAAAAGAAAAGAAAAGGAAAAUUCCAUUAAAAACGAUUUUACACUUUCCCAUAAUUUUCCAAAAAUCCAAAAAAUACAAAAACAAAAUCAAAAAAGAUUUUCUUUUUUCAUCAUCUUUUAAAAAGACAAAAAAAAAUAUUUUUCUCAAAAUUAGUGUCAUUUUUAAAGCUUUUUCCCAUGUCCAAUCCUACUGAACUACGCAUACCUGAUUUUCGUCUUUCGGAACAGGAUACGUAGGCAUCCCACAUAGGGUCCGGUCUUCCUAGUGCCUUAGAUUUUUGGCUUCACGAGGUCUUAGCCAAAUCUUGCAUAUCUAGCCAUGUUUGGCCACAUCGACUGUUUUUGCAAAAUAAGAAUGUUUUUACAAAGUGGCUUGUUAACCCAUGUCUUAGAGUCUAAGCCUAAAAAAUGGUGUCCUCUCAGUUUUAAGGUCCUUCUUUUUUGAAUUUGCAUGUCUAGCCACUUUUGGCCACAUCAGCCAUUCUUGCAAAAUUGGGUCAUUUUCGUAAAAGUGGUCCAAUUACCCACGUCUUAAAAUCUUGAGUCAACACCUAGGUGUCAUAUUGCUUUAAGGUCUGUCCUUUUUGAGUUUGCAUCUUUAGCCACUUCUAGUCAUAUCAGUCAUUUUUGCAAAAUGGGGCAUCUUCACAAAUUAAUUUUAGGCCAUGAUAUUGGGAGUUCGAAUACAUAAAAUCCUUAGUGAGGCAUUUUUUAUGUCCUUGAUGUCAAUUUUGUUGAGUUUGCAUGAAUAUCUACUCUUAGCCAUGUAGGUUAAUUUUUAACAAUAGCCCAAUAUUAUCUUGCAUGUGUCUAAUAGGAGGUGUGGUCUCAUAUAGUGUCUAGAGUCAUUUAAUUUGUUUGGUCUUAUUUUUUUCAUUCAGGUAUGAAUUUAUUUAACAGAGCUCGAGCACGACAGAUAACCCGGAACUAUCACAUUUG
This 2881-nucleotide long non-coding RNA is filed under the name Nicotiana benthamiana. RNAcentral describes it as "long non-coding RNA (NBEN_LNC028175)". Lineage: Eukaryota; Viridiplantae; Streptophyta; Magnoliopsida; Solanales; Solanaceae. The record is from RNAcentral.